UCAAUAAGCGGAGGAAAAGAAACUAACAAGGAUUCCCCUAGUAACGGCGAGUGAAGCGGGAAAAGCUCAAAUUUGUAAUCUGAUGCCUUCGGUAUCCGAGUUGUAAUCUCGAGAAGUAUUUUCCGCGCUGGACCGCACAUAAGUCUGUUGGAACACAGCGUCAUAGUGGUGAGAACCCCGUAUAUGGUGCGGAUGCCCAGUGCUUUGUGAUAUACUUUCGAAGAGUCGAGUUGUUUGGGAAUGCAGCUCAAAUUGGGUGGUAAAUUCCAUCUAAAGCUAAAUAUUGGCGAGAGACCGAUAGCGAACAAGUACCGUGAGGGAAAGAUGAAAAGCACUUUGGAAAGAGAGUUAACAGUACGUGAAAUUGUUGGAAGGGAAACGCUUGAAGUCAGACUUGCAUUUUGGAGUUCAGCCGCAAGGUGUAUUCUUCGAUUCGCAGGCCAGCAUCAGUUUUCGGGGGUGGAAAAUCGUGGUUUGAAGGUAGCAGUUUCGGCUGUGUUAUAGCUUUCCACUGGAUUCACUUUUGGGGACUGAGGAACGCAGUACGCUUUUUGCAAGACUUUCGAGUUUUUCGUACUUAGGAUGCUGRUGGAAUGGCUUUAAACGACCCGUCUUGAAAC
This 620-nucleotide ribosomal RNA is filed under the name Sphacelotheca polygoni-serrulati. RNAcentral's name for it is "LSU rRNA". It matches the Rfam family "Eukaryotic large subunit ribosomal RNA", at positions 43 to 660 of the family's 3401-position model. Lineage: Eukaryota; Fungi; Basidiomycota; Microbotryomycetes; Microbotryales; Microbotryaceae. The record is from RNAcentral.